UCAAAUAAAAUGAAAUUAUUCAAUAAAAUAACAAUUGAGACAUUCUUUCAUCCAUUUUCUUAGUACAUCAUAGAUAGUGAUAACUACAUUUCUUUUCAAGAAUGACACAAGGAUUAUGUUCCCAUUCACAUAUCAUCAUGUAUGGCGGGUUCAUCACUCCCUUGAUUGGAUCCUCCUUGAUCAGAUCCAAAAGUAGUUCGCCUGCUCAUGUUGGCU
RNAcentral lists this long non-coding RNA (216 nucleotides) under Arachis ipaensis. RNAcentral's name for it is "long non-coding RNA (AIPA_LNC001203)". The record is from RNAcentral. Lineage: Eukaryota; Viridiplantae; Streptophyta; Magnoliopsida; Fabales; Fabaceae.